AUAGAAAUAUGAAAAAUAUUUAGUUGGGGGCUGUUUUGAUAUUUUAGAUAGUUUUGGGGGAGAAAGUGAGAUAAGAUAAGUAAUUAGGAAGAGAUAUAAAUAGGGAAGACCUAAUUGUUAGAAAAACUAUUGUACGUGAAAACUUUUGGAAAAGGGAGAAAAAGCUUAGAAGGGAGGAGAUCAAAGAGAGAGCUGCGAUUUCUUCAUAACCAGGUAAGGGUGAGACUAAUAACUCAGUAAUGGUAAUUGAUGAUAAUUCUGAUGAUUAGUUAGCAAGAAUUAGGAUUGAAUUGGAGAAAACGAAAACUAGGUCAAAUCCCUAGAAUUGAUGAUCAAACGGUAGGAAUUGAUUAAAUUGAUGUAGAAAGUGUUCCUAGACCUUAGAUAAUGUUUAGGACGAACUUUGGAAUCAGUAUUAGGCUUAGAACCAUGAGAAUCGUCGAAUUUUUGUGGAAAUAGCAGGUCUGGCCGUAGCGAAAUUCAUCGCUCGCCACGGCGAGCUAUGAGUUUCGCCUCGCGAGUGAUGAACAUUCAUCGCUCGCCUCGCGAACCCUUUUCCCUCGCCUCGCGAGUUGUGCAAUGCAGCUCGCCACGGCGAGCAACCUUACUCGCCAUAGCGAGCUAAGGCAGAGAGCAUGUAGGAUUUUGCAAUUUCGACUUUUUAGUUGGACCUUGAGUGCCAUUGUGUGCCUGAACAUACCUAGUAAUGAUUAGGAAUGAAUGUAGGACAAGAUUGAACCUAGAACACCAUUAGUUUGGAAAUUGACUGGUACUCGCCU
This 779-nucleotide long non-coding RNA is filed under the name Medicago truncatula (barrel medic). RNAcentral describes it as "long non-coding RNA (MTRU_LNC007089)". Lineage: Eukaryota; Viridiplantae; Streptophyta; Magnoliopsida; Fabales; Fabaceae. The record is from RNAcentral.